This 290-nucleotide long non-coding RNA is filed under the name Drosophila guanche. Lineage: Eukaryota; Metazoa; Arthropoda; Insecta; Diptera; Drosophilidae. The record is from RNAcentral.
AACCAGAGGAGCGAACAUAAUGUGAAAACUAGACGGAGCAGCCAUUAUAACUUUUGCUUAUAAUUUAUGACGGCACUUGCGGCACUUUGCGCUGAAUUAUAUUUAUUUUUUGUAUUUUUUCGCUUCUUUCAUUUUGGAACUUUUGCGUGUCGGCCUUAAGAUGAAAUUGCCAUUGUUGCUUGGGCAAUGUUUCGACAUUUGCCGCCGAGAUACAUUUGCGAGAUAUGCAGACAAUUGAAAGCCAUUUCCUGCUGGAACAAUCACUUGAGCAUCGCUCGGCGACUGUCCCC